Ruditapes philippinarum (Manila clam) is the source of this 5664-nucleotide RNA transcript. RefSeq lists it as uncharacterized. The record is from RefSeq and is a predicted model, not a curated record. The transcript is spliced from 3 exons. NCBI's taxonomy places the organism in Eukaryota, Metazoa, Mollusca, Bivalvia, Venerida, Veneridae.
UCUCUCUGUUUUUAGAAAAUGUGGUUUUAAAAAUAUGUACACAUUUCUCGGUAUUGUUAUAGUACAAUCACUUUUGAUAUUUGAAUAUCUAAUAAUUAAGUUUCAAUGAUGGAUUUAUCUGAACGUUUAUCGAAUCUUAUGUCUGAGAAAAUUACGCCUUUCGUUAAAAGUGGCGAGUGUUCAGAUGAAGUUUCUUUGUGUUUUGAUGAUGGGAGGAAACUUUACGUUUCACGAAACUUCCUCUGUUAUGCUUCUCCUGUCUUUAAGACUAUGUUUCAAAUGAAAGAACCAGACGAAAUAGAAGUUAUCAUGUCAGGAGCAGUGUAUGGUGACUUUCUAGAGCUGCUUUCGUGUCUUCAUCCUGGUGUGCAGAAGCAAAUUGAUUGUACCAACGUUUUGCGUAUUGUGUCUCUUGCAAAGGAGUAUCAAAUACAAAGCUUCGAGAAAAGAUGCCAAAAAGUAAUGAUAAAAUGGUUGUCUAUAGAGGUUGAUUCUGCUUGUUCUAAAGAUGGUGAUAUAAAGAAGGUACAGAAUGCCAAAACAUGUCUCAAUAUAUUAAUCAAGGCAAUAGCUCUGGACUAUGAAGACGUUGUCACCCAUGCAAUAGAAGUUUUAGCAAGAUUUGGCUUUGACGUAUUUACUGGUGUUAUGACAAAACCUGCAUUCAAAUUCGGAGAAUCUAAUUUUUCAAAGGCGCCGCCCGUCUCUUUGGCUUUUGGUAAAAAGGAUGAAAAACCAGAAAUCAAAUAUACAAAUGACAAAAGCUUCAAUUUCUUUACUCCGGCUCCGACUAAUUCGGGUACAGAAGAUUCAAUGGACGCCUGCAAAGAAUUGUAUGAUAGUUUAUCAGAAGAUAUAAAAACUAGACUACUUCUGCAACGACUAAAAUUAUGUGAUGACUGUUUCAUGCGCAAAGUGCUAAGUGAUGGUAAAAGUAUCGUAGUCAACCAGUCUUCAAAAUAAUAUACAAUUUAUCACCUGAAAUUAAUAUAUUUUAAUAUGACUUAAUCUAAGGCUCCCAAGCAUACAAUGUUUGUCCCGACUCCAUUGCAGUGUGUCCUAUACUGUAUUUUUAUCAAACGUAGUACAUGUAGUAAGUAAUCAAAUUGGAAAUAUGAAUACAAUGACUUUUAUAACACAAAGAAGUAUCACCGUUUAAACGGUAGUGUUUCAGUUUUUAGCAUUCAUGAUAACGUUUACAAACGUGGGAGCCUUAAGUUGAGUAGAUCUAUAAAUAGUUGUUUUUGUUUGAUUCUUAUGAAAAUAUGUAAAUGAUAUAAUGCUAUAGAUAUGAAUGUUUUAAGUCACUUUUGUCAAUGGCCUAGGGAUAAUUCUAGCGGGGACCAGACCAACCAAAUAAUUACCAUUGUUUACAUAUCUAUCAACAACAACUCUUUCACUAUUAUUUCGCAGGAAAAUAAACUAUGUGUCAAGAAAUGUAUGUUUAAUUUUCAUUAUGAUAUUUAAUUGCUUAUAAAAUGCCUGAAACAAUUUUGUUUUUAAAUUGCCUGGAACAACGUGAAUUUGAAAUUAUCGUAUAAUAUUUUGUAUUAAUUUAACAAACUAAUAAUAAUUCUAGUAACACUAACUGAAAGCUUUUUUGUUACUUAAUAUUUAAUAUCAUAAUAGUUCUAAAAUAAAGCAAAUAUUAAAAUAGAGAAAAACAGAAUCCCUAACGAUAGAUCAACACGGCAAAAUUGUUAAAUGUUGCAGGCUCGGUUUGAUUGAGCCUGUUCAUGGACGGUACUGGAAAGUGCAAGUUACCGUCCACGCCCCCUAGCACCGGCUUAAGUUCGUGUUAUUUUUUUACCUAAUAAAAUAUUUAUUAAAGAACACCAGCGUUUGAUUUUGAUAUGCACUAAAAUGAAAUGAAAAACAUGUCUAAAUCAUUUACCUUGUACCCGACAAAUAACUGGAGAAGGACAUGAAAAAGAACGCACAUUAUAUAUAUGCAUGCCGUUUUACUUAAGAUAAUAAUGCCAGAUAGCGCGGUAACCAUUUUUGCUAAAAUUUCUACUUUUCAACUUCAGCCUUCUUCUGUAUUGAACAAAGUCUGCAUUUUAGCUCAUCUGAGCUCACUAUUCAAAUUAUUGCCUUUAGAUCAAAAUUGGCCCCGCUCCAGGGGGGGGGGGGUGCGCUUUGAUUUUCCUUAUAUGUUAUAAUAAAUUCAAAAGAAUAUUCUUCUAUUAUACUACAGAGGCUUUAGCUAAGAUAUUCAAAUGGUAUUAAACAUGGUCCGAUGGACCUCUGCAAUAAUUGUUCAAAUUAUGGUUCUUGGGUUAUAACUGGUCCCGCCCCAGGUGGUGUUUGAUUUUCCUUACAUGUUUAUAGUAAAAAAAAGUCUCUUUUUAUAAUAUUCAAGAUGCUUUAGAUUAGAUAUUUGGUUUAAAAAUUGUCUGGUGGGCCUCUACAAAUAUUGUCAAAAUAAAGCUCUUUGGUCAAAUAUGGCUCAACGGGGGCAUGCCUUUUCCUUUUACAGUUAAUACUUAAAAAUGUCUUCUUAAAAACUAAAAGGGCCUUAUGUAAGAUAUUAUACAUGAAACAUUGUUUUGUGGACAUCUACAAAACUUGUUCAAAUCAUAGCCUUCGAGUCAAAAUUGGCCCCGCCCCGGGGUCAUAGAACCAGUGAAUUUCCAUAGUAAACAUUAAAUCCCAUGGUAGCCAUUAGAUUUUCAUAGCAACAAUUUACUUACAUAGAAACCAAUGACUUCCCAUUGCAACCAGUGAAUAGCAUAGAAACCAAUGACUUUUAAAAGCAACCAUAUACCUCUUAAGCAACAUGUGACUUUCUGUAGCAACAAAUGGCUUUCCAUUGCAAUUAUUGACUUUCCUUAGCAACCAUUGUCUUCCAUAACAACCAGUGACUUUCCAUAAAAGCCAUGCAAUUCCAUAGCAACCAGUGACAUUCUACAUCAACUGAUUACUUUUCAUAGUAGAUAUUGACAUGCAUAGCAACCAGUGUUUUCAUAUAGACCUCCAUAACAACCUUUGCCAUAUCAACUAGUGCCUUUAAUAGCAACCAUUGACUCGCAUAGGAACCAGUGACUUCAUAUAGCAAUCAUAGUCUUCCAUUACAAUACUUCCUUUCCAUAGCAACCUUUGCCAUAUCAACUAGUGCCUUUAAUAGCAACCAUUGACUCGCAUAGGAACCAGUGACUUCAUAUAGCAAUCAUAGUCUUCCAUUACAAUACUUCCUUUCCAUAGCAACCAUAUACUUCCAUAGCAACAAGUUACUCUCUUUAGCAGCCAGUGACUCCAUGUUAACACAUUUUUUCCAUAGCAACCAGUAACUUUCCAUAGUAGCUAUAGACUUACAUUCCAAAAGCAAUAAGUGACUCACCUUGGAGCCAUUAACUUUCCAGGGCAAACUGUAAAUUUCUAUAGCAACCAGUCACAUUCAUAGCAAACAUCUUUCAAUUGCAGCGUGAAUUUCAUAGCGUCCCCACUGACUUCCAAGGAAACCAUAAAUUGUGUAUAGCAACUAGUGACUUCUUUUGAAACUAUUGUAUUCUUUGAAAAAUAGCAAUUAAUUUUUUUAUUUUUACAAGGGCACUUUUUUCAGAUACAGAUAUGAAUUUUAUGAUCAUAACAGUUCAAUAUUUAGAUUUUAUAUAUGCUUUUAUAUUCAGGUGAGCGAUAUCAAGACCAUGGUCCUCUUGUUUAUCUUAUUUUGUCGUUUCCAUUACUGUCAAUAGAUAAUUUUCACCAUUUCAUAAGCAUUUCAGCUUUUCGUUGCUUUGGCCCGAAAGUUAUGCUGGCUUAACAUUUGUUAAAUUUAUGAACAGUGUAUGACGGGAGCGUGUGUUUUUUAUUUUUAAAAAGAAAAUAGUUGCACAAUCUCAAUGAACAAACAAAUUGAAGUACUUAAUCACGAGUGAGAGAAACGAAUCACCAGGUAUAAAAUAAAACUCAAUCUCUUAUUCUUUAUUGACAGACCAGAUUGAGUACAGAGAUAAAAUAAUGUUUAUCAGUUGGUAGUUUCAGUUUAGAUUUUGAGAAAUGUCUAAUUCAGUACUGACCUAGUUUUUAAAAUGCACCGUGCAUAUAUUUUCAUAAAAAUGUUAAUGUGUGAUAGAGGUCAGGUACAUUCGACAAAUCUUGCUGUUAAAUUUACCGAAAAUUAUAAAAUUUGACCUAUUCGGGUUUUAAUAAUGCUACAUUUAGAUAUUCUUAUAAAAUAUGUAUUUUAAGCAAACAUAGGUAGUUUUAGUUUAAAUUCGUAGAAGAAAAAUCUCGCUAUUAAACUUUGGGAAAACAAUUAAAAUAAAAGAUUUAAAACUACAUGUAUUCUAGUUUUAAUAAUGCUAAGUGUUAACAAAUGUGCAUUGAAACAUACAUUAGGUAGCUUAAAUCUUGCUGUAAAAUUUCCGAAAAAGAAAACAAAAAACUAUUCGAUUUUUAAAAAUGCUAUGUACAUGUUUACAUUUUCAUAGAAAGUGUAUUUAUAACAGACAUUGUGUAGUUUCGAUUUAGAUUGCUGUGUGUUUAUCCGAAAACUGUAUAAUAUUUACAAAACUGUGUAAAGGAACAAAAAAUUAUGGAUAAGUUUGAAAGUUGUGAGGCUGUUUCAUUGACGAAACAUUUUGAGGUUAGUGGGGAAUGUUCUGAUGAAAUUGUUUUCACUUUUGAUGAUGGUAAGAAACUAUAUGUAUCACAAAACUUCUUGUGUUAUGCGUCACCAGUAUUUAAAGAGAUGUUUAAAGAUAAAUAUGGAGGGACAGAAACCAAAGACAUUGAAAUGAAAGAAAACUCAAGUGAUUUUCUAGAGCUACUGUUGAUGUUACAUCCGGGAGUACAUAAACCUAUUGAUAGCAAAAAUGUUUUGCGAGUCGUCACUCUUGUGGAAAAAUACCAAAUUCAACCUUCAAUAAGGAGAUGCCAAAAUGUGAUGAAAAGAUGGUUAACAUCGGAAGUUGAUUCUGCUGUAAAAGUCCUAAGUAACGAAAAUAGAGUGACGUAUGCAAGGACAUGUCUGACCAUACUGAUUAAAGCGAUAUCUCUUGGCUACGACGACGUUGUUGCACACGCUGUUGACGUUUUAGCAAGAUUCGGGCAUGACAUGUUUACUGGGUCAGGGAAAAAAUCUUCAUUUGAACUUGAUGGAUCCUUUAAUUUUGGUAAGUCUGCACCUACUGUUAAAAUUGAUAUCGAGGAGAAAGUAUCCAAGGGAUCUCUUGGUGACGAGUCAAUAAAUUCUACUGCAGCUACGAAAUCGGAGCCAGAAUGCCCAUUAAACGCCUGCAAAGAACUUUUUGAAAGUUUACCAGCAAAUAUGAAAACUCGACUUCUUCUACAGCGACUGAAAUUAUGUGAUAACUGUCUAAUGCGCAAAACAACUUUAUAGAAAUUUGCAUUCUGUAACGUGAGUCUCCAAAAUAUGCAAACGUUUUGUCUACUUUGUCAAUUCCAGCGCAUGUGGUAAAGAAAAUGUAAAUGAUACAUACUUAGUUGUGUUAUUACAAGAUUUGUACCUACAAAAGAAGGGAGCAUUUCUUUCGUCAAUCGUGUAUAACAGAAAAAUUCUUUAUUAUUUAAUUAUUGAGAUAUUUUGAAUAUAAUACAUUUUUUUUCGAUUCAAUAUAGGAUCGUCAACAGUAUGUUCCUAUCAAAUUUGAAAGACAUUGGUAAACAAUAAAGGCUGAAUAAGCAAACAUUUAAAUUCUA